Molecule: ribosomal RNA, 445 nt
Filed under: uncultured Parabacteroides sp.
Lineage: Bacteria; Pseudomonadati; Bacteroidota; Bacteroidia; Bacteroidales; Tannerellaceae
Description: bacterial SSU rRNA
Rfam family: Bacterial small subunit ribosomal RNA
Source: RNAcentral
UGAGGGAAUAUUUGGGGUCAAUGGGCGAGAGCCUGAACCAGCCAAGUCGCGUGAGGGACGAAGGCCCUACGGGUUGUAAACCUCUUUUAUAAGGGAAUAAAGGACAUCACGUGUGGUGUUUUGCAUGUACCUUAUGAAUAAGCAUCGGCUAACUCCGUGCCAGCAGCCGCGGUAAUACGGAGGAUGCGAGCGUUAUCCGGAUUCAUUGGGUUUAAAGGGUGCGUAGGUGGCUUGUUAAGUCAGCGGUGAAGGUCAGUGGCUCAACCAUUGAAUUGCCGUUGAAACUGGCGAGCUUGAGUACGUACGGGGCAGGCGGAAUGCGUGGUGUAGCGGUGAAAUGCAUAGAUAUCACGCAGAACCCGAUCGCGAAGGCAGCCUGCCAGGCCGUGACUGACACUGAUGCACGAAAGCGUGGGUAUCGAACAGGAUUAGAUACCCUGGUAGU